Molecule: transfer RNA, 66 nt
Filed under: Neochauliodes fraternus
Lineage: Eukaryota; Metazoa; Arthropoda; Insecta; Megaloptera; Corydalidae
Description: tRNA-Pro
Source: RNAcentral
CAAAGGGUAGUUUAAGUAAAAUAAUAAUUUUGGGGAUUAUUGAUAAAGUAGUAACUUUUCCUUUGA